Molecule: ribosomal RNA, 120 nt
Organism: Neogobius melanostomus (round goby)
Lineage: Eukaryota; Metazoa; Chordata; Actinopteri; Gobiiformes; Gobiidae
Source: Ensembl
UUUUUAGGCCAUACUGCCUUUGCUCUGCCCGAUCCCGUCAGAUCUCGGAAGCUAAGCAGGGAAGGUCCUGGUCGGUACUUGGAUGGGAGACCGAUUGGGACCACCAGGAAGCCUGGGUGA